AUAGCUGCAGUAUUUUGACUGUGCUAAGGUAGCAAAGUCAUUAGUUCCUUUAUUGGGAGCCGGAAUAAAUGAGUUGACGAUAUUUAGGUUUUUCUGGCGGGAAUGUGAAAAUUGAUAUUUGCAUCAAAAAGUGCAACUUGCUGGGGGGACGAGAAGACCCCGUAAAACUUUAUUUGCGGCAGGUUUCCUGGUUUAGAAUUCUGGGGGCGAAGCUACGAAUUGAACUGGGGCGGUAACUAAGUAAACAUUAGCAGGAAUAACACCUAUGUGUGAAGUGUUAGAUCCUGUUAGGAGAUAGGUUUAAGUUACUUUGGGGAUAACAGCACUAUUUUUUCCUACAGCUCGCAUGGAAGAAAGAGACUGUGACCUCGAUGUUGAAUUGGGGUGCCGAAUCUGAGCAGAAACAGAUUCAGGGGGUCUGUUCGACCUUUAAUUCCCCA
RNAcentral lists this ribosomal RNA (440 nucleotides) under Eugerdella sp. Its description in RNAcentral is "partial 16S ribosomal RNA". It matches the Rfam family "Bacterial large subunit ribosomal RNA", at positions 1927 to 2598 of the family's 2925-position model. Lineage: Eukaryota; Metazoa; Arthropoda; Malacostraca; Isopoda; Desmosomatidae. The record is from RNAcentral.